AACCACAGAUUUAGAUUAGUUGUUGUUUAACCAGCAUUCAGAUAUUGGGGCUCAACUGUGGUAUUUUUUGUGCUGUUUUUGUUAAAGAAUGGCUUUCUCAAAGACCCUACCUUUUAAGUGACAUUCAGAAUCUUUUCUUUUGCAGCCAUUCCGUAGAGUGACGUUUUCAGUUGUGAGUCAGCCUCAGGACCCACAUCAGGGGUCAUUGCAGAGUUGCUAUGACAGCGGUCUGGAGGAGUCAGAAACACCAAGCAGUAAGAGUUCUUCAGGGCCGAGGCUGGGUGCCCUUCCACUCCCAGAGGACAACUACGAAAGGACUACGCCGGAUGGCAGUGUUGGUGAGGCAGAGCAUAUGGAAAAUGAGCCGGAGCAAUGAUGCUAAAUGCUAGAUUGUAAAGGUAAUUGAUGAUGAUCUCCUCCUCUCUGUGAAGUAAAUGAAGUGAAACUGAGGUUUUCACCCUUGUUUCUGGCAGAUUUGUAUAGAUGAUAGGAAUAGGUAAGAAAACAAUUUCCUAUGCAUUUUAAUGUGAUUGCAUCCAUUUUAUUCUUCCUGAAUUCACACACAAACCAAAAUGUAGUUAUGUGUUGUUUUUGUAAUGAAGUUCUUCAAUUAGAAAAUGUGUACAAAAAUUGAGAUACUGUACUAAAGGAGGUAUGCAGAAAUAUACAUAUGCAUAGGGCAAUCAGAUACAAAAUGAAUCAUAGUAAGAAUUUGUUUGCAAAAAAGGAUAUUUCUGACAAAAUAUGUCUGUCAGGAAAAUCUGAAAUCAUAUAUUAGGAGAUGUAAGUGCUAACAGUUUAUAUGAAUUGUUGUAGAGAAUAUAUAUUUGUAGAAACAGAUGUCAAUACAGGAGACAAACUAAAGGUGAGGGGAGAAUGAAAAACUGAGAGAAGCUAAAACUGAAAAAUUGGAAUAGAGAAAAUCAGAAGUCAUAGAAUAAUAAUCAAAUUGAGGCACAGGGUACUGUUUCUUAUUAUGGGGUUCCUUCUUCAUGCUAGCGAUUUGAUUGGUGCCAUUUCUUUGCAAGAUUGUUUGCAUUUCUAAUUAAAAACUACAGGUUGUGUUUUAGUUGCCUGAAGAACUUUGUCCAAGGUUUGAAUCUAUGCAAUCAGAAAUACAAACUUCUGAGUUCAGUGGAGCUUAUUUUCUAAUUACAGUGGUGCCUCACUUUAUGAUUGCCCUGCAUUACGACAAAUCCGCUUAACGACAAUCUUUUUGUGGUCGCAAUUGUGAUCGCAAAAGGAUGUUCUAAAUGGGGGAAUUUCACUUUGUGAUCAUUGGUUCCCUGCUUCGGGAACCGAUUCUUUGCAAAAUGACGUUUUUCUAACAGCUGAUUGGCAGUUUCAAAAUGGCCGCCGUGUAAUUAAAAUGGCUCCCCGCUGUGUUUA
RNAcentral lists this long non-coding RNA (1389 nucleotides) under Pogona vitticeps (central bearded dragon). RNAcentral describes it as "lncRNA (ENSPVIG00000011286.1)". The record is from RNAcentral. Lineage: Eukaryota; Metazoa; Chordata; Lepidosauria; Squamata; Agamidae.